This 406-nucleotide ribosomal RNA is filed under the name uncultured bacterium. RNAcentral describes it as "partial 16S ribosomal RNA". It matches the Rfam family "Bacterial small subunit ribosomal RNA", at positions 30 to 526 of the family's 1533-position model. The record is from RNAcentral.
AUUGAACGCUGGCGGCAGGCUUAACACAUGCAAGUCGAGCGAGCGGCGGACGGGUGAGUAAUGUCUGGGAAACUGCCUGAUGGAGGGGUAUAACUACGGGAAACGGUAGCAAAUACCGCAUACCCUGAGAUGCGCCCAGAUGGGAUUAGCUUGUAGGUGGGGUAAUGGCUCACCUAGGCGACGAUCCCUAGCUGGUCUGAGAGGAGGACCAGCCACACUGGAACUGAGACACGGUCCAGACUCCUACGGGAGGCAGCAGUGGGGAAUAUUGCACAAUGGGCGCAAGCCUGAUGUAGCCAUGCCGCGUGUGUGAAGAAGGCCUUCGGGUUGUAAAGCACUUUCAGCGGGGAGGCGUUACUCGCAGAAGAAGCACCGGCUAACUCCGUGCCAGCAGCCGCGGUAAUAC